UGCGCUGACGGCGCUGUUAUGAUUCUGUCACGAAGCGAUUUGAAUCGUUUGUGUUUUCGUGAGGUUGCGAAGAACGAAUUUUAUGGAAAAAUAGUCUGUUUUUGCAUAAUGGCAGCACAGCGAGCGCUUCCUCAAAGCAAGGAGGCUUUAUUGAAGUCUUACACGACAAGGUUAAAGGAUGAUGUGAAGUCUAUGCUGGAGAAUUUCGAAGAGAUUAUAAAACUAGCCAAAGGGGAAAGCGAUUCGCAGUUAUCUCGUAUGACACAAUGCGAACAGGAUACGUAUGAAAUGCAUGUCAGAGCAGCCAAUAUCGUACGUGCUGGGGAAUCUCUGAUGAAGCUAGUGUCGGACAUAAAGCAGUACCUGAUACUUAACGAUUUUCCUUCCGUGAACGAAGCUAUAGCACAAAAUAGCAAAUUGUUUAGAACGAAACAAGCGGAAUGCGACCAAAAAUUAGCUUCCUUAAGGGACGAUAUGGCUGCAGAUUUAUACGACUUAGAAGAAGAAUAUUACACUUCGAUAUAUAAAUAACAUUAGCUUUAGUUCCUCGAGACUGUACAAAAGCGUACUCGUCGGUUGGACCAUGCAUCGAUUUCAAACAACAAAAAGAAAAACCGUGAUUUGUCUGUUCAAUAAACUGUAUAUAUUUAUUUAAAUAAAUAAGAAUAGUUUUGAUAGUACAUUCCUAUUUCUUAAUUGGGAGCCUGACACGCGAGAAGAUAGACUUAACGACAAUGAUUCAGGCGUAAUUGUUUCACUUUUAUUACUUGAAUACUUUGUAUAACACACAGACGAUACAUCACACGAUACUUCUAAUUGAAAUAGUACGGAGUUCCCUUCGACCGGAGCAGACAGAGAUUACAUCGACGGUUGAACGAACGACCACCCGUUGGGAUAACGAAAUAAACGCACGUCGUCAUAGUGAAAAUUUUUGGAAUGUUCCAUCUUCGUAAUCUCGUUUACUCCGUAUACGUGCUGCUGAAACGACAAACUGAGCUUCCGUCGACACGGUACUGUUCCAUCAACUAAUUGGGAAGCAGCGAUUUACGCGAUACAGAAGGAAAAGUAACAAAAAAUAUCACAGUGUAAAAUGCAACGCUGUGACACAGACUCAUCAAGUGUCGAUCGAACGUGGAAUUAACCCAUUGAUUGCCACUGUACAGCUGUUGUACAUUUCAUUAGGUA
RNAcentral lists this unclassified non-coding RNA (1185 nucleotides) under Megachile rotundata (alfalfa leafcutting bee). RNAcentral describes it as "mediator of RNA polymerase II transcription subunit 22, transcript variant X1". The record is from RNAcentral. Lineage: Eukaryota; Metazoa; Arthropoda; Insecta; Hymenoptera; Megachilidae.